UACGGAGGGGGCGAGCGGUGUCCGGAUUUAUUGGGCGUAAAGAGCGUGUAGGCGGCCGAGCAGGUCCGUUGUGAAACCUGAAGGCUCAACCUUCAGAGGUCGAUGGAAACCGUUCGGCUAGAGUCCGGAAGAGGAGAGUGGAAUUCCUGGUGUAGCGGUGAAAUGCGCAGAUAUCAGGAAGAACACCCGUGGCGAAAGCGGCUCUCUGGGACGGUACUGACGCUGAGACGCGAAAGCGUGGGGAGCGAACAGG
Molecule: ribosomal RNA, 253 nt
Filed under: uncultured bacterium
Lineage: Bacteria
Description: partial 16S ribosomal RNA
Rfam family: Bacterial small subunit ribosomal RNA
Source: RNAcentral